This 375-nucleotide ribosomal RNA is filed under the name uncultured bacterium. Its description in RNAcentral is "bacterial SSU rRNA". It matches the Rfam family "Bacterial small subunit ribosomal RNA", at positions 523 to 898 of the family's 1533-position model. The record is from RNAcentral.
AUACGUAGGGGGCAAGCGUUGUCCGGAAUUAUUGGGCGUAAAGCGCGCGCAGGCGGUCUUUUAAGUCUGGUGUUUAAGUGCGGGGCUCAACCCCGUGACGCACUGGAAACUGGGAGACUUGAGUGCAGAAGAGGAGAGCGGAAUUCCACGUGUAGCGGUGAAGUGCGUAGAGAUGUGGAGGAACACCAGUGGCGAAGGCGGCUCUCUGGCCUGUAACUGACGCUGAGGCGCGAAAGCGUGGGGAGCAAACAGGAUUAGAUACCCUGGUAGUCCACGCCGUAAACGAUGAGUGCUAGGUGUCGGGGGGGUCCACCCCGCGGUGCCGAAGUAAACACAUUAAGCACUCCGCCUGGGGAGUACGGUCGCAAGACUGAA